CUACGGGGGGCAGCAGUGGGGAAUAUUGCACAAUGGGCGCAAGCCUGAUGCAGCCAUGCCGCGUGUGUGAAGAAGGCCUUCGGGUUGUAAAGCACUUUCAGCGGGGAGGAAGGCGUUAAGGUUAAUAACCUUGUCGAUUGACGUUACCCGCAGAAGAAGCACCGGCUAACUCCGUGCCAGCAGCCGCGGUAAUACGGAGGGUGCAAGCGUUAAUCGGAAUUACUGGGCGUAAAGCGCACGCAGGCGGUCUGUCAAGUCGGAUGUGAAAGCCCCGGGCUCAACCUGGGAACUGCAUUCGAAACUGGCAGGCUAGAGUCUUGUAGAGGGGGGUAGAAUUCCAGGUGUAGCGGUGAAAUGCGUAGAGAUCUGGAGGAAUACCGGUGGCGAAGGCGGCCCCCUGGACAAAGACUGACGCUCAGGUGCGAAAGCGUGGGGAGCAAACAGGAUUAGAUACCCCUGUAGUC
This 464-nucleotide ribosomal RNA is filed under the name uncultured Klebsiella sp. RNAcentral's name for it is "bacterial SSU rRNA". It matches the Rfam family "Bacterial small subunit ribosomal RNA", at positions 339 to 795 of the family's 1533-position model. Lineage: Bacteria; Pseudomonadati; Pseudomonadota; Gammaproteobacteria; Enterobacterales; Enterobacteriaceae. The record is from RNAcentral.